UGGCCACUACCAGAUGGGAAGAGUGACUGUCUUGAAGAAACUGAAAUCCUCCUGAUGCAAUAGUGUCUUGACAAACAAGUGACUGCAAAUCAUGGAGACAGGAAUUGGACCUGAUGUAAUUAUAGAGAACUAUCAGGCACUCUACUAAGCUAUGAGGACAGACAUGUGAGCAAAUUUGUACCCUCAAGGAACUUACAUUAGAAGAAAGGAAAGACCACCGUAUAGAUAUGGUGGUAUAAUAUAGAAAGCUUUUCCUCAAAAUGGAAAUUGUGGAAGGAACUCAACAAUGGGGGAGAGGGCUGUAAGUACAGAAAGAAAAAAAAGUAUAAAGUUACAUGUCA
Long non-coding RNA from Sarcophilus harrisii (Tasmanian devil), 341 nucleotides. RefSeq lists it as uncharacterized. The record is from RefSeq and is a predicted model, not a curated record. The transcript is spliced from 3 exons. NCBI's taxonomy places the organism in Eukaryota, Metazoa, Chordata, Mammalia, Dasyuromorphia, Dasyuridae.